UAACAAAUUAUUAACACAGAUAAUGCUCCUACAAUUGUAAAUGCUUGUUUGUACUUGUUAAUAAACUUUAUCAUAUUGUUUGUUUUAAAAAAUGUCAUUGUGAUCUUCGUUAUCCCACUCACCAAAUAAAUCUUCACCCUUAUAGUCAGGAUGAUUUUCUUUCAUAUAAUCAAUUCCACGUACCCAAAGUACUGCUACAACAGCGGCUAAUAUAAAGGAACAGCCUAUUCCUAUGAUUAAUCCCACCAUCUUCUAAUGUUUUGUUCUAAUAUUUUAAAUAAUAAUUUAUGUGCUCGUUCUUCGUUUAUUUUAGCUAUUUCAUAUGCUAUCCUACCUUUAGGAGCAUUUAAAUCAGGAACCAUUCUGUAUAUUAAAGGAUACUUUUUAAAGUAUUCAUCAUAACGUUCUGAUAUUUCUUCUAUUUCCAUUUAAACUCUUUCUGUGAUCCAUAUAGUAUACCAUUAAAACAAAUUGCCGUGAAGUCUUGGUCUAUUCCUAUUUUUAUCAACUUUAUGAUCUAAUAUGUCAUCUAAGGAAUCUGUUACAAUUCCAGCGUUUCUCAUAGCACCAUACAAAUCUAAUAGCCUAAUUAAUACAUCUGCCAUUUCUUCAACAAUUUCACGACUGCCCUUAUCUUUUCUAACUGCUUCUAAAAUUUCUGUUACUUCUGAGUGUACAAGAGCAAGUUUGUUUCCAAAUUUAUCAUAGUUGUGCUCUCCGUCCCAGAAUCCCUUUUCUAUUGCAGAUUCAUGCAAUAUUGCUGCACAUGCAUCUAAACCGUAGUCUAAAAGCACACUUGAUGCAGUUUGCGUAGUCUUUUCUGUAUUAGGCGGUGUUCUAAAGUUGUCUGUUUUAAUUACUCCCAUUAUUGUCUCCUAAAGAUAUUAAAACAGAUAACUUUAGAACACCGCCUACCCACUGAAACCCAACUCCGAAUACCACGAUGAUUAUUCCGGGAGACAGAACGUGUGGGAUAAGCUUCACGUUCAAGAGGGAAAGAACCCAGACCGCCGAUUAAGGCCCCCAAGACGAUACUAAGUGGCAAAGGAAGUGGGAUCGCUAAGACAGCCGGGAUGUUGGCUUAGAAGCAGCCACCAUUUAAAAAGUGCGUAAUAGCUUACCGGUCGAGCCAUCCCGCGCCGAAAAUGACGGGGACUCAAGUAUCGCGCCGAAGUCGCGGAUUCGUAAGAAUGGUAGGAGAGCGUUGCCCUCGGCGUUGAAGGCAGACCGGAAGGACUGCUGGAGCGUGGGCAAGUGCGUAUGCCGGAACGAGUAACGAUAAGAUGGGUGGGAAGCCCAUCCGCCGAAAGCUCAAGGUUUCCUGGGGAAGGUCAAUCCGCCCAGGGUUAGUCGGGACCUAAGACGAGGCUGAAAAGCGUAGUCGAUGGACAGCAGGUUAAUAUUCCUGCACCUGGCAUAAAGGUUGAUUUACAGAGGACGCCGUGUGAUGAGUGGUCGGGGUGCUAGACGUCCCCGUGCCGCAAGGCCGACAGCAUUGUUCUGGAAGCCAUUCUGACUCAUGGCCACGAAAAGCCCUGUAAUGACAAUAUGUUUUGCCCGUACCGUAAUCCGACACAGGUGAGCGAGGUGAGUAUCCAAAGGCGUUCGGGAGAACUCUCGUGAAGGAACUCGGCAAAUUGACCCCGUAACUUCGGGAUAAGGGGUGCUCACCGCAAGGUGAGCCGCAGAGAAUCGGCUCUAGCGACUGUUUAUCAAAAACACAGGACGCUGCGAAUUCGCAAGAAGAUGUAUAGCGUCUGACGCCUGCUCGGUGUCGGUAGGUUAAGGAAGCCGGUCAGCGAAAGCAAAGCUGGCGACCGAAGCCCCGAUAAACGGCGGCCGUAACUAUGACGGUCCUAAGGUAGCGAAAUUCCUUGUCGGGUAAGUUCCGACCUGCAUGAAUGGCGUAACGACUGGAGCACUGUCUCCACGGGAGACCCGGUGAAACUGUAGCCGUGGUGAAGAUGCCACGUACCCGCGGCUAUCGUGACUGGGAAACAGAUCGGAAGAGCACACGUCUGAACUCCAGUCACCUGAAGCUAUCUCGUAUGCCGUCUUCUGCUUGAAAAA
RNAcentral lists this ribosomal RNA (2070 nucleotides) under freshwater metagenome. RNAcentral's name for it is "bacterial LSU rRNA". The stretch from base 763 to 2070 matches the Rfam family "Bacterial large subunit ribosomal RNA", at positions 1 to 2632 of the family's 2925-position model. The record is from RNAcentral.